This 2903-nucleotide ribosomal RNA is filed under the name Escherichia coli STEC_EH250. RNAcentral's name for it is "bacterial LSU rRNA". It matches the Rfam family "Bacterial large subunit ribosomal RNA". Lineage: Bacteria; Pseudomonadati; Pseudomonadota; Gammaproteobacteria; Enterobacterales; Enterobacteriaceae. The record is from RNAcentral.
UUAAGCGACUAAGCGUACACGGUGGAUGCCCUGGCAGUCAGAGGCGAUGAAGGACGUGCUAAUCUGCGAUAAGCGUCGGUAAGGUGAUAUGAACCGUUAUAACCGGCGAUUUCCGAAUGGGGAAACCCAGUGUGUUUCGACACACUAUCAUUAACUGAAUCCAUAGGUUAAUGAGGCGAACCGGGGGAACUGAAACAUCUAAGUACCCCGAGGAAAAGAAAUCAACCGAGAUUCCCCCAGUAGCGGCGAGCGAACGGGGAGCAGCCCAGAGCCUGAAUCAGUGUGUGUGUUAGUGGAAGCGUCUGGAAAGGCGCGCGAUACAGGGUGACAGCCCCGUACACAAAAAUGCACAUGCUGUGAGCUCGAUGAGUAGGGCGGGACACGUGGUAUCCUGUCUGAAUAUGGGGGGACCAUCCUCCAAGGCUAAAUACUCCUGACUGACCGAUAGUGAACCAGUACCGUGAGGGAAAGGCGAAAAGAACCCCGGCGAGGGGAGUGAAAAAGAACCUGAAACCGUGUACGUACAAGCAGUGGGAGCACGCUUAGGCGUGUGACUGCGUACCUUUUGUAUAAUGGGUCAGCGACUUAUAUUCUGUAGCAAGGUUAACCGAAUAGGGGAGCCGAAGGGAAACCGAGUCUUAACUGGGCGUUAAGUUGCAGGGUAUAGACCCGAAACCCGGUGAUCUAGCCAUGGGCAGGUUGAAGGUUGGGUAACACUAACUGGAGGACCGAACCGACUAAUGUUGAAAAACUAGCGGAUGACUUGUGGCUGGGGGUGAAAGGCCAAUCAAACCGGGAGAUAGCUGGCUCUCCCCGAAAGCUAUUUAGGUAGCGCCUCGUGAAUUCAUCUCCGGGGGUAGAGCACUGUUUCGGCAAGGGGGUCAUCCCGACUUACCAACCCGAUGCAAACUGCGAAUACCGGAGAAUGUUAUCACGGGAGACACACGGCGGGUGCUAACGUCCGUCGUGAAGAGGGAAACAACCCAGACCGCCAGCUAAGGUCCCAAAGUCAUGGUUAAGUGGGAAACGAUGUGGGAAGGCCCAGACAGCCAGGAUGUUGGCUUAGAAGCAGCCAUCAUUUAAAGAAAGCGUAAUAGCUCACUGGUCGAGUCGGCCUGCGCGGAAGAUGUAACGGGGCUAAACCAUGCACCGAAGCUGCGGCAGCGACACUAUGUGUUGUUGGGUAGGGGAGCGUUCUGUAAGCCUGUGAAGGUGUACUGUGAGGUAUGCUGGAGGUAUCAGAAGUGCGAAUGCUGACAUAAGUAACGAUAAAGCGGGUGAAAAGCCCGCUCGCCGGAAGACCAAGGGUUCCUGUCCAACGUUAAUCGGGGCAGGGUGAGUCGACCCCUAAGGCGAGCCGAAAGGCGUAGUCGAUGGGAAACAGGUUAAUAUUCCUGUACUUGGUGUUACUGCGAAGGGGGGACGGAGAAGGCUAUGUUGGCCGGGCGACGGUUGUCCCGGUUUAAGCGUGUAGGCUGGUUUUCCAGGCAAAUCCGGAAAAUCAAGGCUGAGGCGUGAUGACGAGGCACUACGGUGCUGAAGCAACAAAUGCCCUGCUUCCAGGAAAAGCCUCUAAGCAUCAGGUAACAUCAAAUCGUACCCCAAACCGACACAGGUGGUCAGGUAGAGAAUACCAAGGCGCUUGAGAGAACUCGGGUGAAGGAACUAGGCAAAAUGGUGCCGUAACUUCGGGAGAAGGCACGCUGAUAUGUAGGUGAAGUCCCUCGCGGAUGGAGCUGAAAUCAGUCGAAGAUACCAGCUGGCUGCAACUGUUUAUUAAAAACACAGCACUGUGCAAACACGAAAGUGGACGUAUACGGUGUGACGCCUGCCCGGUGCCGGAAGGUUAAUUGAUGGGGUUAGCCGCAAGGCGAAGCUCUUGAUCGAAGCCCCGGUAAAACGGCGGCCGUAACUAUAACGGUCCUAAGGUAGCGAAAUUCCUUGUCGGGUAAGUUCCGACCUGCACGAAUGGCGUAAUGAUGGCCAGGCUGUCUCCACCCGAGACUCAGUGAAAUUGAACUCGCUGUGAAGAUGCAGUGUACCCGCGGCAAGACGGAAAGACCCCGUGAACCUUUACUAUAGCUUGACACUGAACAUUGAGCCUUGAUGUGUAGGAUAGGUGGGAGGCUUUGAAGUGUGGACGCCAGUCUGCAUGGAGCCGACCUUGAAAUACCACCCUUUAAUGUUUGAUGUUCUAACGUUGACCCGUAAUCCGGGUUGCGGACAGUGUCUGGUGGGUAGUUUGACUGGGGCGGUCUCCUCCUAAAGAGUAACGGAGGAGCACGAAGGUUGGCUAAUCCUGGUCGGACAUCAGGAGGUUAGUGCAAUGGCAUAAGCCAGCUUGACUGCGAGCGUGACGGCGCGAGCAGGUGCGAAAGCAGGUCAUAGUGAUCCGGUGGUUCUGAAUGGAAGGGCCAUCGCUCAACGGAUAAAAGGUACUCCGGGGAUAACAGGCUGAUACCGCCCAAGAGUUCAUAUCGACGGCGGUGUUUGGCACCUCGAUGUCGGCUCAUCACAUCCUGGGGCUGAAGUAGGUCCCAAGGGUAUGGCUGUUCGCCAUUUAAAGUGGUACGCGAGCUGGGUUUAGAACGUCGUGAGACAGUUCGGUCCCUAUCUGCCGUGGGCGCUGGAGAACUGAGGGGGGCUGCUCCUAGUACGAGAGGACCGGAGUGGACGCAUCACUGGUGUUCGGGUUGUCAUGCCAAUGGCACUGCCCGGUAGCUAAAUGCGGAAGAGAUAAGUGCUGAAAGCAUCUAAGCACGAAACUUGCCCCGAGAUGAGUUCUCCCUGACUCCUUGAGAGUCCUGAAGGAACGUUGAAGACGACGACGUUGAUAGGCCGGGUGUGUAAGCGCAGCGAUGCGUUGAGCUAACCGGUACUAAUGAACCGUGAGGCUUAACCUU